UUUCCGUAUGUGAACCUGCGGAAGGAUCAUUAACACGUUCCAAAACCAAUCAAACCAACCUGCGAACCCGUGAGAGCUUUUUUUAUAGCUUAGUUCGUUCUAACCUAUGAUUGAUGCCGAUCUUUAACUUUAUGGCAUUGGCGUAUCUACUCUAGUAGUAGUGCGUCCUAAUCCAUGUAGUUUGAUCACUCUUUUUAAACGCCCUUCAUUAACUACUGCUUGUCAGCCAGUUGACGAAUCAUAUCAUUUCAACUUCUACCAAUGCAGGUUGUGUCGAUCCAGCUGGUUUUUAUUAGCCCGACUACUGCUUGGUUGUAUCUAUAUAAAAUCUAAGAACAACUCUUAGCAAUGGAUAUCUUGGUUCUCGCCUCGAUGAAGAACGCAGC
This 386-nucleotide unclassified non-coding RNA is filed under the name plant metagenome. Its description in RNAcentral is "partial contains small subunit ribosomal RNA, internal transcribed spacer 1, and 5.8S ribosomal RNA". The stretch from base 338 to 386 matches the Rfam family "5.8S ribosomal RNA", at positions 1 to 49 of the family's 154-position model. The record is from RNAcentral.